This 469-nucleotide non-coding RNA is filed under the name Vigna angularis (adzuki bean). Its description in RNAcentral is "Bacterial small subunit ribosomal RNA". It matches the Rfam family "Bacterial small subunit ribosomal RNA", at positions 35 to 491 of the family's 1533-position model. Lineage: Eukaryota; Viridiplantae; Streptophyta; Magnoliopsida; Fabales; Fabaceae. The record is from Rfam by way of RNAcentral. RNAcentral also lists the same sequence under 1 other name.
GCUAACACAUGCUUAACACAUGCAAGUCAAACUUGUUUUCGGGGAGCUGGACAGAAAAAGAGGCUCCUUGUGUGAAGGUUGCUUGUCUUGCCCAAGAGAUAGGAAUAGGUGAAAACAAAGUGGCGAACGUGUGCAUAAUGCAUGGGAAUUACCGAACAGUUCGAGCCAAUAUGAAGAAAGCUAAAAGGCGCUAUUUGAUGAGCCUACGCAAUAUUAGGUAGUUGGUCAGGUAAAGGCUGACUAAGCCAAUAAUGCUUAGCUAGUCUUUUCGGAUGAUCAACCACACUGGAGACGGAAACACAGCUCGGAUUCCCACAGGGGCAGCAUUGGAGAAUCUUGGACAAUGGACGAAAACCCGAUCCAACAAUAUUGCGGGAGUGAAGAAGGGCAUUGUCGUAUGUAAAGCUCUUUCGUCGAUGCUACCUACUAAAAGAGCUUACGACCAUGCCAUCAUUCUUAAAGAGGGAGC